UAAAGACAAAGGCAGAUCCUAUAAAUCUAACCCACAUUCUUUUAGUGGGAAUGACUGACUUUUAUGAAAACUGAGGAUUGUAAAUCAGAAACCUAAGUGGCUUACUUUGCAGCAGAUAAACACAGACUUGUGUCGUGAUGGAGCCCCACGUUAACCCUUUCAUGGUGCCGUGGAGGACUGGGGACAUGCAGCAAUGGUGUCCUUCCUGGAGCUGGAGUCAGGAGGAGGCCGAGUGACUCACACUGGUGCGCCUCAGCUGGGGGCAGUGUAAGGCCUCAGGUGUUGGCUUGUUUCAACGGCUCCGCGACUUGAAAUGACGGAUCGGGCACAGCUGUGCUUGGAGAGGUCGCCUCUGUUGCAGCCUGGGCUUCUAAAAUCCCCAAAUCCCUGAAAAGGGGAUGGACCCUCAGCCUCAUGCGUACCAGGUUAGUACUGUACCUCUGAGGUCCUACACCCCCAGCCCUCAUCUCACCGGACCACUGAUGCUGGACAUGUUAACUGCAUGGGCUGCCCCCCGCCAGGCGCCCAGCCCUACUACGGCCCACCAAAUGGACUCUCAGACCACAUGGGUGUAUUAAU
This is a long non-coding RNA of Jaculus jaculus (lesser Egyptian jerboa), 579 nucleotides long. RefSeq lists it as uncharacterized. The record is from RefSeq and is a predicted model, not a curated record. NCBI's taxonomy places the organism in Eukaryota, Metazoa, Chordata, Mammalia, Rodentia, Dipodidae. The transcript has 3 exons.